GCUUUCAGCACCUUUUGUUCUAGUCUCAUCUUCAAGAGUCAAUUACAUUCUUUACUUAUAUGCUCUUAUCUCGAUACUUAGCAAUCUGAAUGACUCAACUACCAUCUGCAGCUUACGAGAGUUCGGGUGCAGAUAGCCCAUGUAGCGGUCAAGUAUCAGGUCAAGGAACAGUGCAAAAGUUAGCAGGAAGGUUUCGAACUGGGAGUUACAGAUGAAAGUAUUGUUUCAUAAACAGGAUCAGUAUCAAAAGUAGAAGCCAUAUAUGGUGAAGGAAGCAGGAGAAUCUUCCGUUUUAGUUUCAUCUGCAAUUACUAGCUUUGCUGCUAGAUCACGAUCAAUUCCAGGGUUUUCCUUGACUCUAAGUAAGAAACAAGUUAAGUAGAUGAUUGUCGUGCUAAUGCUUACUUCGUUGGUGGGGUAAAGCGCUGAGCUCCUGUUGAUGUUGAGUUUAAAGAACUUUACUUGAAGGUCAUCAUCUAUUCCUUCUUCUGAAGCUAAUGCGGUCAAGUGGAAAGUCAGGGCUAAGUUCAGUUCAUGAGUUGGCGACGAAAGAGAGAGAAUCAGUGAAGCGAGAGGAACAAGCUAAUAAGUAAGCUUUGUUAGGAGUUUCGGACUUUAUUACAUUCCUAUGAGAUAUGCGAGUUAUAGAGAGAUUAAGCAACUUGUAGCGGGGCAGUAAGCCUUUUUGACGAGCAAGGGUGCAUUAAGUUAAGUACUGGAUACUCGUUUUGAAGAGCAAGGGUAAGUACCUGAUACUCCGUCUUGUGCCAGAAGUUGUCCUGUCCCGGAUAGUUUGAACAAGUAAUAUGUUAGGCAAAAGUGUCGUGGAACAGCCGAUAAGGAAGGGUGUUUUCGAUUUGCAACAAUGGAAGUUGACCCUGAGCAGCCAUAGGUAAGAGGGAGCUAAGUCAAGAAUUCCUUGUUUCAAGGAGAGUUCGAGUGCUCUAGCCCUUUAGUAAUUGGUGAGCAACUGCAGGACUAGCUCCAAUAGAAAAGUUAGGUUGAGAUAAAGGAUCAUACGCUGUAGUAGUAGCUGGAUAAGAGGUCAGUCAUAUAGGGAGAAAGUCAAGGAUUUGCAGCGGCAAGGAAUGUAGAGGGAGGGGAAAGAGUAGGCGUGCUCUUAAACAUGAACCUUUCAUACACUCAAAAAUACAUUAAUUGAACGGGCAAGAAAAGUAGGAGAAUUGACUAUCUUGUCCACUGGAAGCUCCUAGAGUUGCAUUUGAGCCUAACAUCUUGAAACUCGCUGCUACGCUAGGAACUUACUACAUCCUACAUCCUUUAACUUCAUAACCACGAUUCACUCCUAUUACUAGAAUUAGUGAGAAUUUCUUACCUUAACUAAGCACUCAGCUAUUUCAUUACAACUCCUUUAACUACGGACUACUACACUAGUAGUGACUGGGAAGAGUGCGAUAAAGAACAUAGUAUAAACUGGAGGAGUGAGUGUAGCAGUAGUAUUAGAGUAGAGGUGCAAGCAGAGGAGUGAAAGAGAAGACUAGUAGGAGCAUAGGGAAAAUACAAUUCCAAGCUAAAGAAAGGCCCACGAGUAAAGCUGUUAAAGAGGCAGUAAAGUCUCUAGUUCUAGUAUGCACAAUCAAAUACCAGUGUUGAGUCAGGAUCAGUUGAAACAGUAGUUGUUAGUUGCCCUUAUAUUAAGUCGGUAUAGGAAUUCUCCGUAUCAGUAUGAACCCUUACUCUUGAUACUUGACCGACCUAGUAGGAGUAUAGUCCUGCGAUUCCCCGCUUAUAGUAGAAGAGACUAACUUGUUUCAUUCUUAUUAUUAGUGGUUUCGUUCUUACUGUUGGUUGGCCGUUCCUUGGCUCAUAGCAAUUCUUUACUUAAGUACUUCUAGCUUAGCUUCCUGGCCGAUACCUCUUGCUGGCAGGAACACUCAUUCAUAAAUGCAUUCUGACUUGCUUGUUUCUUAGUUUGAUUACUUACUUCUUCUUUACUUAGCGCUUGCAGCCCUUGACCGAGAUAGAGAUACAACACCCGGCACAGCUUCUGAAACUAGAUCUUAGAAAAUAGGGUGUCAAGGCCUUAAACGAUGAGAAAUAAGGGAGUCAUCACCCAAACUAUACUUGAAGUUCAGAAUUCCAUUUCAUAUAUCUCUCUUAUUGAGCACAUGGGAUAGAAACUCGUAAAUAGAAAGCAUCUUCUGUUGUCGAUGAAACAAGAACUACACUUGAAACAAAGAACUCUACUCUCCUACUGGCUUUGAAACGAGGUGUAACAAAAGAAGUCCGGGUAUCUAGAAUUGGCAGUGCUAGGAAAGGAGGGAUAGUACAGGUGUUGCAAUACAAGAUCAGAGGGAUAUGGGCAAGAGAAGAGUUUACUUACCGCAACUCAGGUAUUGUAUAUAUUGUAUAUUAGUAAUCUAGUUGCCAGGGGUCGAUAACACCUCUGCCUGCUACUGAAGGAAUAGUUUGUUGUGCAAUGAAAGCUGGGUUACGGGCUUACUAAGGGCAGAAGUAUUGACUCGCUUGUUUUUGUUCCAUAUUCUUUUGUUACCCGUCAUGUAUGUUAGGGCCUGGCCUAUUUGACAGCUUUCCCUUGUAGUGGUCCAGUCCAAGUACCAACCCACCUAGACGUUACGCGAGACUUACUCGUAUUCUUUAUCACCGUGCUUCAAAGCAAGAUCAGUAGAUGAAUGAGUUCUAGGUAAAGUAGAAAGUGUAGUUCCAGUGGGCAAGCAGUGAGUUUAAGGGGCCCACCUCUCCUCUCAAGUAAGAGUGACACAAAUAAGUACAAGAGCCAAGCAACUAGGCAAAAGGUCAUCUCCCCUAUGGAUCUCUCGACUCUAACCUCUCUCUCUAUCUACGACUUGGAUUUUCUCUCCAGGAGCAUAACCCCACCUUAAAGAACCGAUCGUCGCCAACUAACAUGGAUUAGAAACAAGAAACUUCUACACUCGCUUCAGCAGUUUCUAAUUCUUUAUCAAAUUAUUAAUACGAUGACUUUCGCACCCGAACUCUAUAAGCUAGCUCGGUGAAGCAGUAACCCUUUAACACAGGACUCGUUUAUAACUUCUAUUAACCCUUUAACACAGGACUCGUUUAUAACUUCUAUUAACCCUUUAACAUAAGUAAUACCUCUGUACGCACUGUAAACCAUGAUUUAGAGUCGACAACAAGCACAGAUGACUUUCGAUCAGGCCAGGCAAUUCGACAAACGGUAUAAUGUAUUUAUGACUUUGUUCUCUGCUCUUUCAUCAUCCUCUGAUUCAUCUCCUUAUUCUAAUCCGUUUUCUUUACCUGCAGCAACACCUGUGAUUGAUAGGUUUGUUUAGGCUUGAACAACAUCUUGAGAGUCC
Molecule: long non-coding RNA, 3317 nt
Filed under: Musa acuminata (dwarf banana)
Lineage: Eukaryota; Viridiplantae; Streptophyta; Magnoliopsida; Zingiberales; Musaceae
Description: long non-coding RNA (MACU_LNC008913)
Source: RNAcentral